The sequence is a non-coding RNA, 400 nucleotides long. It matches the Rfam family "Bacterial RNase P class A". Rfam says of the family: Ribonuclease P (RNase P) is a ubiquitous endoribonuclease, found in archaea, bacteria and eukarya as well as chloroplasts and mitochondria. Its best characterised activity is the generation of mature 5'-ends of tRNAs by cleaving the 5'-leader elements of precursor-tRNAs. The record is from Rfam.
GCGGAAGGCUGGAUGACCGCGGCGGGGCCUGCCCCUGUCGAGGAAAGUCCGGACUCCGGGAAGGAACGGUGCCGGGUAACGCCCGGGCGGGGUAACCCGACGGACAGCGCCACAGAAAACAGACCGCCCCGGGCGGUGCCGGUUUGCCGGCAACACACGGGGUAAGGGUGAAACGGUGGGGUAAGAGCCCACCGCGCCGCUGGCAACAGGGGCGGCACGGCAAGCCCCACCGGGAGCAAUGCCAAAUAGGGACCGCGUGCCCGGAAACGGGCGGGGCCACUUCCGCCCCAGCAGGUCCGGGUUGGCAGCUGUAGCCGUAUCGGCAACGAUGCGGUCAGAGGAAUGGUCAUCCAAGGGGGCAACCCCUGGACAGAAUCCGGCUUACAGGCCUUCCGCGCAU